AUACGUAGGGGGCGAGCGUUGUCCGGAAUCAUUGGGCGUAAAGCGCGUGUAGGCGGCUCGGUAAGUCUGCUGUGAAAGUCCAGGGCUCAACCCUGGAACGCCGGUGGAUACUGCCGAGCUCGAGUCCGGAAGAGGCGAGUGGAAUUCCUGGUGUAGCGGUGAAAUGCGCAGAUAUCAGGAGGAACACCGAUGGCGAAGGCAGCUCGCUGGGACGUGACUGACGCUGAGACGCAAAAGCGUGGGGAGCAAACAGGAUUAGAUACCCUGGUAGUCCAUGCCGUAAACGAUGGGCACUAGGUGUGGGGGGUGUCGACUCCCUCCGUGCCGACGCUAACGCAUUAAGUGCCCCGCCUGGGGAGUACGGCCGCAAGGCUAAA
Molecule: ribosomal RNA, 377 nt
Filed under: uncultured bacterium
Lineage: Bacteria
Description: bacterial SSU rRNA
Rfam family: Bacterial small subunit ribosomal RNA
Source: RNAcentral